CCUACGGGAGGCAGCAGUGAGGAAUAUUGGUCAAUGGACGGAAGUCUGAACCAGCCAUGCCGCGUGCAGGAAGACGGCUCUAUGAGUUGUAAACUUCUUUUGUACAAGGGUAAACUUGAACACGUGUAUUCAGCUGAAAGUACUUUACGAAUAAGGAUCGGCUAACUCCGUGCCAGCAGCCGCGGUAAUACGGAGGAUCCGAGCGUUAUCCGGAUUUAUUGGGUUUAAAGGGUGCGUAGAUGGGUUGUUAAGUUAGUGGUGAAAUGUUGGAGCUUAACUCGGGAACUGCCUUUGAUACUGUCAGUCUGGAGUAUAGUUGAGGUAGGCGGAAUGCAUGGUGUAGCGGUGAAAUGCUUAGAGAUCAUACAGAACACCGAUUGCGAAGGCAGCUUACCAAUCUAUAACUGACAUUGAGGCACGAAAGCGUGGGGAGCAAACAGGAUUAGAUACCCUUGUAGUC
This 460-nucleotide ribosomal RNA is filed under the name uncultured bacterium. Its description in RNAcentral is "partial 16S ribosomal RNA". It matches the Rfam family "Bacterial small subunit ribosomal RNA", at positions 338 to 795 of the family's 1533-position model. The record is from RNAcentral.